This 771-nucleotide ribosomal RNA is filed under the name bacterium. RNAcentral's name for it is "bacterial SSU rRNA". It matches the Rfam family "Bacterial small subunit ribosomal RNA", at positions 70 to 853 of the family's 1533-position model. The record is from RNAcentral.
GAUCCGGUGCUUGCAUCGGGGAUUAGUGGCGAACGGGUGAGUAACACGUGAGUAACCUGCCCUUAACUCUGGGAUAAGCCUGGGAAACUGGGUCUAAUACCGGAUAUGACUCCUCAUCGCAUGGUGGGGGGUGGAAAGCUUUUGUGGUUUUGGAUGGACUCGCGGCCUAUCAGCUUGUUGGUGAGGUAAUGGCUCACCAAGGCGACGACGGGUAGCCGGCCUGAGAGGGUGACCGGCCACACUGGGACUGAGACACGGCCCAGACUCCUACGGGAGGCAGCAGUGGGGAAUAUUGCACAAUGGGCGCAAGCCUGAUGCAGCGACGCCGCGUGAGGGAUGACGGCCUUCGGGUUGUAAACCUCUUUCAGUAGGGAAGAAGCGAAAGUGACGGUACCUGCAGAAGAAGCGCCGGCUAACUACGUGCCAGCAGCCGCGGUAAUACGUAGGGCGCAAGCGUUAUCCGGAAUUAUUGGGCGUAAAGAGCUCGUAGGCGGUUUGUCGCGUCUGCCGUGAAAGUCCGGGGCUCAACUCCGGAUCUGCGGUGGGUACGGGCAGACUAGAGUGAUGUAGGGGAGACUGGAAUUCCUGGUGUAGCGGUGAAAUGCGCAGAUAUCAGGAGGAACACCGAUGGCGAAGGCAGGUCUCUGGGCAUUAACUGACGCUGAGGAGCGAAAGCAUGGGGAGCGAACAGGAUUAGAUACCCUGGUAGUCCAUGCCGUAAACGUUGGGCACUAGGUGUGGGGGACAUUCCACGUUUUCCGCGCCGUAGCU